RNAcentral lists this ribosomal RNA (252 nucleotides) under uncultured bacterium. RNAcentral describes it as "partial 16S ribosomal RNA". It matches the Rfam family "Bacterial small subunit ribosomal RNA", at positions 524 to 776 of the family's 1533-position model. The record is from RNAcentral.
UACGUAGGAGACGAGCGUUGUCCGGAGUUACUGGGCGUAAAGGGUGCGCAGGCGGCCUGGCGCGUCGCGAGGGAAAUCUCCUGGCUCAACUGGGAGGGUGGUCGCGAGACGGCUGGGCUUGAGGCUCGGUGAGGGGCGUGGAAUUCCGGUGGAGCGGUGAAAUGCGUAGAGAUCCGGAGGAACACCGACGGCGUAGGCAGCGCCCUAGACGAGACCUGACGCUCAGGCACGAAAGCGAGGGGAGCAAACAGG